RNAcentral lists this long non-coding RNA (841 nucleotides) under Hordeum vulgare. Its description in RNAcentral is "long non-coding RNA (HVUL_LNC014236)". The record is from RNAcentral. Lineage: Eukaryota; Viridiplantae; Streptophyta; Magnoliopsida; Poales; Poaceae.
UUUUUAUUAGUCAUUCUCAACAAUCAAUACCAGAACAGUUGUACAAAAGCAUGUGUGUUUCCAUCAAACAAAUUUCUUAUUCAUGAUUUUUCAUUACAGUGGUACAUGUUACAAUCACCAAAAACUACAUAAGCAAUCUUUGUUUACAAGUUGCAUAUUCACGUUUUUCCUCUUCGAGUGAUAUACGCAUAAUCUGCAACCUUCUCUUUUGAUUUGGUUAAACGGCACUUCUUGUGUCCUCUGAGAUUACACAGAGAAUGAUUGGCUGGAUUGUGUAACUCUUCAUAGUCCCGUCCCUGCAAAACUGAACAAUAUUCAGAGAAUGCACAAAAUUCAGAACUUGCACAAAUUCAGAACAUGAGGAGGUACAACUGCUAACCUACAAGUUUCCACAUUGUAGUAAUUUUGGCCGGGACAGAGAUCAUCCAGGUUGCCCCAAUGUACACCGUACUGGGCUUCACAUGGCUCGAACACAACGCGGUCGGCCGCCGCCCGCCACACGACGAGUCAGUACGCGAUGCUGGUAUUCACAGGGCUCGACCAUGACGCCGUGGCACUGAAUGCAUCCAUACGAGGAAGCUGCGUCGCCAGAGGAGCCGGCCGUGAAGAUGCUGACUGCCUCCCCGCAUCGGAGGAGCUAGCCAUGACGCAUCCAACGCGAAGGAUGUCGCCUCGCCGCCUCAGAGUAGCCCGUCGUGGCGCCUCGAACGAGACCACCGCAUCCAUCGAUGGGGAAUUCACCGCGUCGGCCUGCCGCUGGGGAACUCGUCGUUUGGCCGGCCGAUCUGUGCGAGUCGGCGUUCGCCUGGGAGGGAAAGGGAUGCGCACCGGUUUGAUUUUU